AUGGUGGUUAUUGAUGGGAAGGCCAUUUCCUUUGGGUUUAUGGCUUCGAAUUUAGGUCCCUUGUUGAUUUCCCUCCCUAUUUUCACACUCACAGGACAGUUCUACGCAUUUACUUGGCAAACAAAGAAGCAGGAGGCACUGUGUGGGGCUGAUUCCUCAAGAGGAAGCAAGCAAGAGGCCACAGGUGACAGAGAGUGCAUACAUGCCCUCACAUUCCUUCAACAUGUGCUGAAUGUGUGUCCCUGCCCUGUGCAAGGUAAUGGAUUUACAGCUGUGAGCAUGGCAACAUCAUUGCACUGGAUAAUGAUGGCUCUGACCCUCCGAAUCUUUCACAAUCUGGUAAGUGAAAUGAAUGAGGGAACCAAUUUCUGUGUGUUCAGGCCAGUAUCUCAGACUAUUAGAUCCAGCCUGGGAAUAAAACCCAUUUUUAAUGCACCAUUUGAUAAGAACACUUAACCUCAGUAUGUGUUGUAAUUAGAGAGAUAAUUAGAACUUCACCAGAACCUCUUAAGACUAGGAAUAUAUUUGAAAUUCACCUAGAAUGAAAAUUGCAUUAUCUAAGACCAAUCCAAGGUAUGUUUCCUUCCAACUCUACCUUGCUGCCCCCCUCCCCAACCCCAAAGCUUUUGCAGUCUGAGAAGUGUGAAAAGAUAAGGAUUUUACAGGUAGUGUAUAUCACAGGAGGCUAAUGGGUUCAGUUGAAAAUUGCUUUAUAGUUAUUUGAAAAGGGAAAAAAAACCGCUUAAUUUUGAAAAUGAGUUUCAAAGGCUGAGUAUGAAGGAGAAGGAGUAUGAGUCAUGUAGGCAGAGAGGAAAAAAAAAACCACAAAAACCUACUUUUGUAGGAACCUACUCAUAAAAUGUUAAUAUAUGCAUAAGAAAAUUGUGUUCCUUAAUCUCUGAAGAAACACUUAUCACUAAGAACCCUUUAAUUCUUUUCCUGUGCUUGAUUUAUUAGCUUAUGAAAUUAUGUUAAUAACCUUCAUGUUAAUGGUUUGGGGGCUCAAAUGACCUGAUUUUAAUAAUGAAGUAAUUUAUGCA
This 1040-nucleotide long non-coding RNA is filed under the name Sus scrofa (pig). RNAcentral describes it as "lncRNA (ENSSSCG00030049026.1)". Lineage: Eukaryota; Metazoa; Chordata; Mammalia; Artiodactyla; Suidae. The record is from RNAcentral.